This 441-nucleotide long non-coding RNA is filed under the name Androctonus crassicauda. Lineage: Eukaryota; Metazoa; Arthropoda; Arachnida; Scorpiones; Buthidae. The record is from RNAcentral.
AGGUAACACAUAAAAAAAGAUGCUACCACAUGUACUUCUGAUUGGGCUAUUCAAGCAAUAAGAAGAAGAAAUUCAACAGAGGGCAUCUAUAUACUUGUGUGUACUCUGUGGAACAUUACUGAAGCAGCAAAAAGCAGCAUUAUGCAGAUUAGGUACUCUGUGGUAGUACUCAAACCACAGCUGCCAUCACAAUUUGGCAAGGAACCAUACUUGAGCAAGGAUUUCCCAACUUGUUCAGCCCCUUAUGAAUGCACCAUGAAGUAUCCAGGUACUCUGUCAGAUUCUUCUUAUUGCUUGAAUAGUCCAAUCAAUGUGGUAGCAUCUUUUUUGCGUGAUAUCUCAUGGUCUGAAGGUGAUAUUAAAAAAAUUUUUAAAACAAAAGUUCUUUAUUUUUUUAGUUAUAUCCAAUUAUGCCCAGGUCGGCAUAUGUUUUCUUUGGAG